Molecule: long non-coding RNA, 443 nt
Filed under: Fukomys damarensis (Damara mole-rat)
Lineage: Eukaryota; Metazoa; Chordata; Mammalia; Rodentia; Bathyergidae
Description: lncRNA (ENSFDAG00000028296.1)
Source: RNAcentral
CAGGUAUUUCUCACCUCUGAGAAGCUUUCCAGAAGGGCUAACUGUUCUAACAUGAAGUCCUAAAAUCUUCACUCAACCCAAGGUUGGGAAAAUAAUCAUGGUGAUAAAAACCACCAGUGAAAUGCCCACUGUGGCCCAGAAUUCAACCCUCCAUAAAUUGAUUGACAACACUUGAACAAAUAGAGCACAGAUUGACCAACAUUUUUAUAAGGAACCAGAGAGGAAAUACUUUUGGCUUUCCAGGCCAUACUAUUUCUGCCACAAGUUUUCAACUCAACUGUUGUAGAGAACAGAUAUAGGUAAGGUGUAACGAAUAGGUAUAGCUAUGAUAUAAUGAAAUUUUACUUACAGUGGGGUGAGAUGGAUUUGUCUCAUUGAUUUGCUGACCUCUGAAAUAGGAAAGGUGGACUUAAGGUUUUUUACUACCCUAUUAAGAAUGCAAC